Long non-coding RNA from Dalotia coriaria, 397 nucleotides. RefSeq lists it as uncharacterized. Lineage: Eukaryota; Metazoa; Arthropoda; Insecta; Coleoptera; Staphylinidae. The transcript has 2 exons. The record is from RefSeq and is a predicted model, not a curated record.
AUCGGAAAAGUACAACAUUAUUGAAACUAGCUAUAUAAACAAAAUCAAGUUUAAAUUCCUAACAGUUUAAACGUUUUGAAUAAAGCGAAGAUGAAGACUUUAUCAAUUUGCGUAUUUGUGGGUUUGCUCGUGCUGAUCCAAUCCGAUCAGUCAGUGCCACCACCUGACGUGCACUGCAGAAUUGUUUGUCUUGGAGGGUGUGAGGAAGUUGAUGAGGCAGCUUGCGUUGCAAGGGGUGGCCGGGUUGGAAAGCCGACUUGUGCAUGUUGUGAUAUAUGUAUACUUCGAUCAGACUAAUAAAUGAUGCACUGAUACAUUCACAAAUGCCGUUCUCUAUGGAUGCAACAACGGAUGUGAUAUUUGAAAUUGAAAAUUAAUAAAGCAUUUAUGUAAAAUA